GAUGAGCUCGCGUCUGAUUAGCUAGUUGGUGAGGUAAUGGCUCACCAAGGCUUCGAUCAGUAGCUGGUCUGAGAGGAUGAUCAGCCACACUGGGACUGAGACACGGCCCAGACUCCUACGGGAGGCAGCAGUGGGGAAUUUUCCGCAAUGGGCGAAAGCCUGACGGAGCAACGCCGCGUGAGGGACGAAGGCCUCUGGGCUGUAAACCUCUUUUCUCAAGGAAGAAGAUAUGACGGUACUUGAGGAAUAAGCCACGGCUAAUUCCGUGCCAGCAGCCGCGGUAAUACGGGAGUGGCAAGCGUUAUCCGGAAUUAUUGGGCGUAAAGCGUCCGCAGGCGGCUUUUCAAGUCUGCUGUUAAAGCGUGGAGCUUAACUCCAUCAUGGCAGUGGAAACUGAAAGGCUUGAGUAUGGUAGGGGCAGAGGGAAUUCCCGGUGUAGCGGUGAAAUGCGUAGAUAUCGGGAAGAACACCAGUGGCGAAGGCGCUCUGCUGGGCCAUUACUGACGCUCAUGGACGAAAGCCAGGGGAGCGAAAGGGAUUAGAUACCCCUGUAGUCCUGGCCGUAAACGAUGAACACUAGGUGUCGGGGGAAUCGACCCCUUCGGUGUCGUAGCUAACGCGUUAAGUGUUCCGCCUGGGGAGUACGCACGCAAGUGUGAAACUCAAAGGAAUUGACGGGGGCCCGCACAAGCGGUGGAGUAUGUGGUUUAAUUCGAUGCAACGCGAAGAACCUUACCAGGGUUUGACAUCCUGCGAACCUCUUAGAAAUUUGAGGGUGCCUUCGGGAAUGCAGUGACAGGUGGUGCAUGGCUGUCGUCAGCUCGUGUCGUGAGAUGUUGGGUUAAGUCCCGCAACGAGCGCAACCCACGUUUUUAGUUGCCAGCAUUUAGUUGGGCACUCUAGAAAGACCGCCGGUGAUAAACCGGAGGAAGGUGUGGAUGACGUCAAGUCAUCAUGCCCCUUACACCCUGGGCUACACACGUACUACAAUGCUACGGACAAAGGGCAGCAAACUCGCGAGAGCUAGCAAAUCCCAUAAACCGUGGCUCAGUUCAGAUCGUAGGCUGCAACUCGCCUACGUGAAGUAGGAAUCGCUAGUAAUCGCAGGUCAGCAUACUGCGGUGAAUACGUUCCCGGGCCUUGUACACACCGCCCGUCACACCAUGGAAGUUGGCCAUGCCCGAAGUCGUUACUCCAACCCUUGUGGAGGAGGACGCCGAAGGUGGGGCUAAUGACUGGGGUGAAGUCGUAACAAGGUAGCCGUA
RNAcentral lists this ribosomal RNA (1265 nucleotides) under uncultured bacterium. RNAcentral's name for it is "bacterial SSU rRNA". It matches the Rfam family "Bacterial small subunit ribosomal RNA", at positions 224 to 1504 of the family's 1533-position model. The record is from RNAcentral.